GUGGGGAAUUUUGGACAAUGGGCGCAAGCCUGAUCCAGCAAUGCCGCGUGCAGGAAGAAGGCCUUCGGGUUGUAAACUGCUUUUGUACGGAACGAAAAGGCUCUGGUUAAUACCUGGGGCUCAUGACGGUACCGUAAGAAUAAGCACCGGCUAACUACGUGCCAGCAGCCGCGGUAAUACGUAGGGUGCAAGCGUUAAUCGGAAUUACUGGGCGUAAAGCGUGCGCAGGCGGUUUUGUAAGACAGGCGUGAAAUCCCCGGGCUCAACCUGGGAAUGGCGCUUGUGACUGCAAAGCUGGAGUGCGGCAGAGGGGGAUGGAAUUCCGCGUGUAGCAGUGAAAUGCGUAGAUAUGCGGAGGAACACCGAUGGCGAAGGCAAUCCCCUGGGCCUGCACUGACGCUCAUGCACGAAAGCGUGGGGAGCAAACAGGAUUAGAAACCCCUGUAGUCC
RNAcentral lists this ribosomal RNA (450 nucleotides) under uncultured bacterium. RNAcentral's name for it is "partial 16S ribosomal RNA". It matches the Rfam family "Bacterial small subunit ribosomal RNA", at positions 354 to 796 of the family's 1533-position model. The record is from RNAcentral.